Molecule: ribosomal RNA, 326 nt
Filed under: uncultured Arthrobacter sp.
Lineage: Bacteria; Bacillati; Actinomycetota; Actinomycetes; Micrococcales; Micrococcaceae
Description: bacterial SSU rRNA
Rfam family: Bacterial small subunit ribosomal RNA
Source: RNAcentral
UACGACCGGAGAAGGCAUCUUCUCUGGUGGAAAGUUUUUCGUAUCGGGGAGUGGGCUCGCGGCCUAUCAGCUUGUUGGUGGGGUAAGUGGCCACCCAAGGCGACGACGGGUAGCCGGCCUGAGAGGGCGACCGGCCACACUGGGACUGAGACACGGCCCAGACUCCUACGGGAGGCAGCAGUGGGGAAGUAUUGCACAAUGGGGGAAACCCGUGAUGCAGCGACGCAGCGUGCGGGAUGACGGCCUUCGGGUUGUAAACCGCUUUCAGCAGGGAAGAAGCGGUAAGGUGACGGUACCUGCAGAAGAAGUACCGGCUAACUACGUGC